UGGCUUAGGAUGAACGCUAGCGACAGGCCUAACACAUGCAAGUCGAGGGGCAGCACAAGGAGCAAUCUGAGGUGGCGACCGGCGCACGGGUGAGUAACACGUAUGCAACCUGCCUGUAAGCGGGGAAUAACCCGUUGAAAGACGGACUAAUACCGCAUAAUACUAAAUUACUGCAUGGUAAUUUAUUUAAACAUUUAUGGCUUACAGAUGGGCAUGCGCAUGAUUAGCUAGUUGGAGAGGUAACGGCUCCCCAAGGCAACGAUCAUUAGGGGUUCUGAGAGGAAGGUCCCCCACACUGGUACUGAGACACGGACCAGGCUCCUACGGGAGGCAGCAGUGAGGAAUAUUGGUCAAUGGACGAGAGUCUGAACCAGCCAAGUCGCGUGCAGGAAGAAUGUUCCCUAUGGAUUGUAAACUGCUUUUGCAGGGGAAUAAAGUGCAUCACGUGUGAUGUUUUGUAUGUACUCUGCGAAUAAGGAUCGGCUAACUCCGUGCCAGCCGCAGC
RNAcentral lists this ribosomal RNA (505 nucleotides) under uncultured bacterium. Its description in RNAcentral is "bacterial SSU rRNA". It matches the Rfam family "Bacterial small subunit ribosomal RNA", at positions 20 to 518 of the family's 1533-position model. The record is from RNAcentral.